This 501-nucleotide ribosomal RNA is filed under the name Enterococcus gallinarum. RNAcentral's name for it is "bacterial SSU rRNA". It matches the Rfam family "Bacterial small subunit ribosomal RNA", at positions 107 to 595 of the family's 1533-position model. The record is from RNAcentral. Lineage: Bacteria; Bacillati; Bacillota; Bacilli; Lactobacillales; Enterococcaceae.
UGAGUAACACGUGGGUAACCUGCCCAUCAGAAGGGGAUAACACUUGGAAACAGGUGCUAAUACCGUAUAACACUAUUUUCCGCAUGGAAGAAAGUUGAAAGGCGCUUUUGCGUCACUGAUGGAUGGACCCGCGGUGCAUUAGCUAGUUGGUGAGGUAACGGCUCACCAAGGCAACGAUGCAUAGCCGACCUGAGAGGGUGAUCGGCCACACUGGGACUGAGACACGGCCCAGACUCCUACGGGAGGCAGCAGUAGGGAAUCUUCGGCAAUGGACGAAAGUCUGACCGAGCAACGCCGCGUGAGUGAAGAAGGUUUUCGGAUCGUAAAACUCUGUUGUUAGAGAAGAACAAGGAUGAGAGUAAAAUGUUCAUCCCUUGACGGUAUCUAACCAGAAAGCCACGGCUAACUACGUGCCAGCAGCCGCGGUAAUACGUAGGUGGCAAGCGUUGUCCGGAUUUAUUGGGCGUAAAGCGAGCGCAGGCGGUUUCUUAAGUCUGAUGU